AAGCGUGAAACUGCAUGGGGAAACACAAGAAGGCUUGUCUCUGCAGACAGGCAAAGGUGAGGGCAUGAAGAUGUAUAACCGUCCCAGGUGGGAGAAGAGCACAGUUCACCCCCUCAGGAUUUGAAACAGGAAGUUGAAAUGCAUCCUGAAAUUUACUUUGCCCAGAGGUGUGGGAAAAGCUGCUUCCUCUUGUAAAUGCAGAUACUGUGAACAACUUAUGUAUAAAUGGAAAAACAGCACCUGAGUUGUUCAAGUAAAGCAGCAUUGUUAUACAGAAAUAAUGGUUGAAUCCUAUUUUCCUGCAUGCUCAUAGAAUGUGUGAGCUCUGCUGACCUCAAAUCUCUCUCAGUUUAAGAAGCUGYGAAAAACUCUUCCUAAACUUUCCACUGAAGGGAAAUGUGUGAGCCCCUUUACACAUUGGCAGCUUUUGAAGGAAAGGCAAAACUUCCCUCAGAUAUGAAUCCUCACCUUAUGUGGGCUGAWGUCCUGCUUCCAGAGAAGCAUGCUGGUUUGAUGACCCCGUGCCAGCCCUGGAACACAGUGGAGGAGACUGCUUAGAACAUUUUGUGCCACUCUGGAGUGAAUUCCAGAGCCCAGGCCCUGCACUGACACAUUUCCAUCCAUCCCCUGCAAUGCAUGUGGCAGCAGUAUUCCAUCUGUUUCUAAUGAGGCAUAGCGGGGGAGGAAAUCUUMUGCAUAAACAUCUCCCACAUCACUUAUGACUCCAUUGAAGAACAUCUUUGCAACAGAAUUAAUUUGUGACAGAGAUUUUUAGCUAUUUGUUUAUUAUAAUACCUGUGGAUAUCGAACAGGAGAGAUUAGCCAGUUCCUAAACCUGGCAAAUUCCUUGGCUGCAAUCCUUCCUGUGUUCUGGGAGCCAAUUCCAGCACAAAUUCUUGUUGUAAAGGUCUUGCCUGUAUUCCCCAAAGUACAGAUGAUAAUUUUGUAUGUACCUAUGCUAUUACAGGGGGAGGGAGAUGUAGCUAGAUUUAAUUCUAAACAAAGAGCAAGCUGUUCCUUAUUUAAUUCCGGUUAUAAACAAGUUAUAGCAAGAUAGAAAUGGAGGGUGAAACAAAGGAACAAAAAAAUACCACUUUGCAUAGGCUUUCUUUUAAAAUCUUUGUUUCUUUGUACAGAAGAGCACUGCAAUGAUUUUUUUAGAGGGAAAUAGUUUACUGUGAUGUGUAUGAAAUAGAAUUUUGAUAGACAGAAUAAGCUGCAAUCCAGCUCUAAACUAUAGAUUUCCAAGCAGAUUGAUGCAACAAAUUGUUAGCAAAUAGCAGUUUGCAAUUUGAUGCUAAUUAGACAUAAGGCAAAUAUGUGCCAUGACAAAUUAGCAGCAAACCAUACUGAAAAGGAUUAGCAAGAGCUGGCACAGAGACUGCUCGAUUUUGCAUACUUCCUUGUCUUAGUCUAGGAGGUCUGAGCCAGUUUUCCUUCUCUGUAAAUAGGAAACCAGAGCAGAGAUCACAGGCAUGCUAGAAUGCCUUUAAUUGCAUAUUUGAAAUGUUUUAACUCUCUCUUAAUCCCAUGGAGGCUUUUCUCCAUACCACCAGCUUUAUUAUCCUGGGAGAUGAUCAAGUGCUUUAUCCAUUUAAUAUUAUAACUAAAUACAUUAUGAGGUAAGUAACUCACGGGGUUAUUUACUUUAGCAAGUCUAUUGUACUUAUAGAUUUAAGAAAAAGCCCCAUUCUUAUUCAAAACACCUUUGCUUAACUUCCUGCAAAUGUGUUUUUCAGCGGAUUUAAUUAUUCAUUUCAUUAAUAAAUUAAUUUUUGCUAGAGGAUUAUCACAUUUCUUUAUUGAUGUGCACAAUGCCAUUGUGGUAGUUAGUGUAGAUCAAACACUUCACCGUAUCCAGAUGAGAUAAUGCAGUUGUGUUUUCAAAGCAGGGAGGAGCAGGGGGUAAUUUCUGUGCCAGUUCCUCAGAGCUGUGCCUCAAUACCAGCACAGCUGUAAGUGUGACUCCAGAAYUAAAGCAAAAACUGCUCCAGAAYUAAAGCAAAAACUSCUCUUGCAUCUUUAAAGGGUGAAAAUUUCAUUAGGAUCAAGAACGCUAAACAAAAGCCACUGUAAAAAUACCUGUUUGUUCAAUUUAAGAAACUUGUUCUUUAUGUGGCUGUUUGUUUAGUUUUUGUAAUUAAGAGUUUCUGAGGUGAACCAUCACAUUCCCCAGGCUUUCAAUUCAUAUUUGCUGGUGUGUACUUCAGUUUGGRUAUGUAAAAUGACAUGUUUAUACUUCAAGGAAUCAUUGGGUAGAUCAGAGGUUCUUAAAUAGGGUUUCUCUUUUAAAUCUGAGUUUCUAGGGCAUCCAAGGCAUUUAACUUACUAGGCUGAUGGUUGUUGUCUGAAAUUAUAUAUGUAUAACAUUCCCAACAUUCCUAUGUCUAUAAAUGGAUCAAAAAGGUUGUUAGAAAUAGUUCAAAGGUGCUAAAACAUUAUGUAGUUAGAUGUAAACACACAUUUCGGUUACCAAAAUAAAUGAAGUGGGAAAAUAAAAGGAUAUUAUGCACAAAAGAUUGUUCUUUCAUAAUUCUUAGAGAGAAUUCCUCAGACAAUUUAAACCACGAUCAGUAACAAGUUUUGCUACAGCACUGUCUUCCCACAUAAACAGUAUGAUAACACACUUUAAGGAUUUACAAAAAGGUGAUCAAAGUAGUGCUGUUUAAAAAGAAAAAAGAGAAAACGCCAGGCUUUUCCUGCAGUUUCUGAAGGCAUUUAUAUAUUCACAUAAAAGGCAUGUCCUGUGAAAGCCUUGGUGUGCACUGAGGCCUGGAGAAGGAGUUUCUGGUAUUGCCAGGCUGAACGUCUGCCUGCUCCCUUUUGCCAAUAUUUUUGCCCAGUUGCCACAUCACAUCAGAAAUUCAGGCAACAAUCUUUAUGCUGCUGCAAAAUUUUAGAAAAGUGAAUUGAUUGCCCUCUGGGCUCAAAACUUUAUUUCCUUUUUGUUGUCAUGCUCAGACUCAUGGUGAGUUCUUGGUGAGCAGUUCUUUGCCUAUACUGAAGGAGUGUAAAAACCCAUCAGUUGGCAAAUGUAGACUGAAAAUUGGACUGGUUAAAAGGGAUGUUAGGGAUUUUAGGAUUGCAUUACAUAUAAAUGGUUGUAAUUCUCAAAGCAAAAUUUGUUUCCAGUCAAGUAUUUUCACAUGGUGUCUUCCCUCACAAAAGCAUCACAGAUUUUCUGCCCGUGAUGAAGCUUCCAAACACUCCCGGUGCUUAAUUCAGCUCAAAUUGCCUUUUUUUGGGGGGGGUCUGGGCUUGAAUUUUUUUCUUCUUGUUUCUCCCAAAUGGCUUUUGUGGAAUACAAAG
Molecule: long non-coding RNA, 3309 nt
Organism: Malurus melanocephalus (red-backed fairy wren)
Lineage: Eukaryota; Metazoa; Chordata; Aves; Passeriformes; Maluridae
Exons: 5
Source: RefSeq, a predicted model, not a curated record